CCGGGGCUAAUACCGGAUAACAUUUUGAACCGCAUGGUUCGAAAUUGAAAGGCGGCUUCGGCUGUCACUUAUGGAUGGACCCGCGUCGCAUUAGCUAGUUGGUGAGGUAACGGCUCACCAAGGCAACGAUGCGUAGCCGACCUGAGAGGGUGAUCGGCCACACUGGGACUGAGACACGGCCCAAACUCCUACGGGAGGCAGCAGUAGGGAAUCUUCCGCAAUGGACGAAAGUCUGACGGAGCAACGCCGCGUGAGUGAUGAAGGCUUUCGGGUCGUAAAACUCUGUUGUUAGGGAAGAACAAGUGCUAGUUGAAUAAGCUGGCACCUUGACGGUACCUAACCAGAAAGCCACGGCUAACUACGUGCCAGCAGCCGCGGUAAUACGUAGGUGGCAAGCGUUAUCCGGAAUUAUUGGGCGUAAAGCGCGCGCAGGUGGUUUCUUAAGUCUGAUGUGAAAGCCCACGGCUCAACCGUGGAGGGUCAUUG
Molecule: ribosomal RNA, 486 nt
Filed under: Bacillus cereus
Lineage: Bacteria; Bacillati; Bacillota; Bacilli; Caryophanales; Bacillaceae
Description: bacterial SSU rRNA
Rfam family: Bacterial small subunit ribosomal RNA
Source: RNAcentral